This 254-nucleotide ribosomal RNA is filed under the name uncultured bacterium. RNAcentral describes it as "partial 16S ribosomal RNA". It matches the Rfam family "Bacterial small subunit ribosomal RNA", at positions 524 to 776 of the family's 1533-position model. The record is from RNAcentral.
UACGUAGGGUGCGAGCGUUAAUCGGAAUUACUGGGCGUAAAGCGUGCGCAGGCGGCGCGUUAAGACAGGUGUGAAAGCCCCCGAGCUUAACUUGGGAAUUGCGCUUGUGACUGGCGUGCUGGAGUGUGGCAGAGGGGGGUAGAAUUCCACGUGUAGCAGUGAAAUGCGUAGAGAUGUGGAGGAACACCGAUGGCGAAGGCAGCCCCCUGGGUCAAGAUUGACGCUCAUGCACGAAAGCGUGGGGAGCAAACAGG